This 468-nucleotide ribosomal RNA is filed under the name uncultured bacterium. Its description in RNAcentral is "partial 16S ribosomal RNA". It matches the Rfam family "Bacterial small subunit ribosomal RNA", at positions 28 to 507 of the family's 1533-position model. The record is from RNAcentral.
GACGAACGCUGGCGGCGUGCUUAACACAUGCAAGUCGAACGGAAAGGCCCUGCUUUUGUGGGGUGCUCGAGUGGCGAACGGGUGAGUAACACGUGAGUAACCUGCCCUUGACUUUGGGAUAACUUCAGGAAACUGGGGCUAAUACCGGAUAGGAGCUCCUGCUGCAUGGUGGGGGUUGGAAAGUUUCGGCGGUUGGGGCUGGACUCGCGGCUUAUCAGCUUGUUGGUGGGGUAGUGGCUUACAAAGGCUUUGACGGGUAGCCGGCCUGAGAGGGUGACCGGCCACAAUGGGACUGAGAGAGGGCCCAGACGCCUACGGGAGGCAGCAGUGGGGAAUAUUGCACAGUGGGCGGAAGCCUGAUGCAGCAACGCCGCGUGCGGGAUGACGGCCUUCGGGUUGUAAACCGCUUUCGCCUGUGACGAAGCGUGAGUGACGGUAAUGGGUAAAGAAGCACCGGCUAACUACGUG